GUUACCCUCGACGAUUGUGCUGCUUCCUGUGUAAACUACUUUCACAUCUGUGGGGGCAUCUGAUGAAAUGUGUUAAAUAUAAAAUAUUUUUACAAGUACGGCCUCAUUUUUAUAUCCUGUAAUACAGGGAAUUUUUUUUAAGCAAACGACCAGAAGAAAACAGAGCUCUUGGCAGAUUGAAGGCUACAUGAGAGACUUUGACAAUGAUACACCUACCUCCUCCAGAGUGUUCUUGACUUGGCUAGAUGUUGUGAAGGGGUUUUUCUUCACCAAGGAAAGAAUUCUGCAUUCAUCCACUUAGUUGUCUUCCAUGGUCUUCCAGGCCUUUUGGUUUGCCUAACGAUGACCUCCUUCACUUGCAUCGACAGCUCUUCGGACCGCAUAUUGAGAGUUCCCAUGAACAGCUACCAAAUGCAAAUUCAACAUUUGGAAUCAACUCCAGAUCUUUUAUCUCCUUAAUUUGUCAUGAAAUAAUGAGGAAACAGGCCACACCCAGGGAACUCCUUAUCAGUCAAUUGUACAAUUACUAUUGAGCCUGUGAAAAUGGAGGGACUCCAUGUACAAAAUGGCUGUAAUUCCCAAACAGUUAAUGCAAUAUUUUUGUUAAACCCCUUGAAUUAAAGUCUGAAAGUCUACACUUCAGUCAAAUCUUGAUUGCUUCAUUUCAAAUCCAUUGUGGUGUUGUACAGGGGCAAAAUUAUGAAAAUUGUGUCACUGUCCAAAUACAUAUGGACCUGACUGUAGCUCUAAAUUUUCCAUACAGUGUCUUGCAUAAGU
This is a long non-coding RNA of Pangasianodon hypophthalmus (striped catfish), 777 nucleotides long. RefSeq lists it as uncharacterized. NCBI's taxonomy places the organism in Eukaryota, Metazoa, Chordata, Actinopteri, Siluriformes, Pangasiidae. The record is from RefSeq and is a predicted model, not a curated record. The transcript is spliced from 3 exons.